UUUCCGUAGGUGAACCUGCGGAAGGAUCAUUACCGAGUGAGGGCCCUCUGGGUCCAACCUCCCACCCGUGUUUAUCGUACCUUGUCGCUUCGGCGGGCCCGCCUCACGGCCGCCGGGGGGCACCCGCCCCCGGGCCCGCGCCCGCCGAAGACACCAUUGAACGCUGUCUGAAGAUUGCAGUCUGAGCAUCUUAGCUAAAUCAGUUAAAACUUUCAACAACGGAUCUCUUGGUUCCG
RNAcentral lists this unclassified non-coding RNA (236 nucleotides) under plant metagenome. RNAcentral's name for it is "partial contains small subunit ribosomal RNA, internal transcribed spacer 1, and 5.8S ribosomal RNA". The record is from RNAcentral.